UGUCCGCACUUUGUCUCAAAAGCUGAUGCAAGCUCUAAAUGAGGGAUCUAACUCUAGCUCGACGCCCGAGUUUGAAUUAGAAACAGAUGACCACUUGGACCCACCGCUUCGUUAGUGGUGUACGUGUUAAGAAUCUGGCUGAGCUUCAUAAAAUAUGAAUAAAAUGGAGAUGUUUUAUUUCUAAACUUAGGACGCUACUCAAAAAAGAAAACUAAAUAUGGGAUUUAGUAUGUUAAUUGACGCCCAUUGUAAACGUCGUGGACAAGUGUAAUAAAUCAGAGGAGAAUUUUGAUGAAAGACAAAGUCUUUAUCUUUUGGUUAACACUGAAAAUUGAGAAAGAAAUUCAAUAGUAACUUAAUAGCUACUUAUCUCUAUAUCAGCCAAAUGGUUGACUGGUAGAGAAGUUCAAAUGGAAUCAAGUCCCCCUAAAUACAUGUCUGUGAUACGUACUUCUUUUUAAAAGCUGAUCGUUCAC
This is a non-coding RNA of Spodoptera litura, 476 nucleotides long. The record is from RefSeq and is a predicted model, not a curated record. Lineage: Eukaryota; Metazoa; Arthropoda; Insecta; Lepidoptera; Noctuidae.